GACGAACGCUGGCGGCGUGCCUAAUACAUGCAAGUAGAACGCUGAAGGAGGAGCUUGCUUCUCUGGAUGAGUUGCGAACGGGUGAGUAACGCGUAGGUAACCUGCCUGGUAGCGGGGGAUAACUAUUGGAAACGAUAGCUAAUACCGCAUAAUAGUAGAUGUUGCAUGACAUUUGCUUAAAAGGUGCAAUUGCAUCACUACCAGAUGGACCUGCGUUGUAUUAGCUAGUUGGUGAGGUAACGGCUCACCAAGGCGACGAUACAUAGCCGACCUGAGAGGGGGAUCGGCCACACUGGGACUGAGACGCGGCCCAGACUCCUACGGGAGGCAGCAGUAGGGAAUCUUCGGCAAUGGACGGAAGUCUGACCGAGCAACGCCGCGUGAGUGAAGAAGGUUUUCGGAUCGUAAAGCUCUGUUGUAAGAGAAGAACGAGUGUGAGAGUGGAAAGUUCACACUGUGACGGUAUCUUACCAGAAAGGGACGGCUAACUACGUG
RNAcentral lists this ribosomal RNA (495 nucleotides) under uncultured bacterium. RNAcentral describes it as "partial 16S ribosomal RNA". It matches the Rfam family "Bacterial small subunit ribosomal RNA", at positions 28 to 507 of the family's 1533-position model. The record is from RNAcentral.